This is a transfer RNA of Clonorchis sinensis, 105 nucleotides long. It matches the Rfam family "tRNA". Rfam says of the family: Transfer RNA (tRNA) molecules are approximately 80 nucleotides in length. The record is from Rfam. NCBI's taxonomy places the organism in Eukaryota, Metazoa, Platyhelminthes, Trematoda, Opisthorchiida, Opisthorchiidae.
GUCAGGGUGGCCGAGCGGUCUAAGGCGCCAGACUCAAGGGAUUCUUUGCCUACUGGGUGUUCUGGUCCACGAAUGUGGGCGUGGGUUCGAAUCCCACCUCUGACA